RNAcentral lists this ribosomal RNA (253 nucleotides) under uncultured bacterium. RNAcentral's name for it is "partial 16S ribosomal RNA". It matches the Rfam family "Bacterial small subunit ribosomal RNA", at positions 524 to 776 of the family's 1533-position model. The record is from RNAcentral.
UACAGAGGUCCCAAGCGUUGUUCGGAUUUACUGGGCGUAAAGGGUGCGCAGGCGGUCGGAUAAGUCGGGUGUGAAAUCCCAAGGCUCAACCUUGGAACUGCGCUCGAAACUAUCUGGCUAGAGGACUGGAGGGGAGAUUGGAAUUCAUGGUGUAGCAGUGAAAUGCGUAGAUAUCAUGAGGAACACCGGUGGCGAAGGCGGAUCUCUGGACAGUUUCUGACGCUCAUGCACGAAAGCCAGGGGAGCAAACGGG